CCCGCAAACGCUCCAGUCGCCAGCGUAGCGGUUGCUAGGCGGGCUUUCUGGGCCUCCACGGCCGCGCGGCCGAGUCACCACUUCGGGACCCGCUAACGGCAGAUGCAGCUGCGGCUGCCGCUUGGGCCGCAAAUACACAAAUGGAGCAAGUACUGUAAGGAAAGAGGAACCCACUGUUGUGAAGGAGGAAGUGCCCAGUGCACAGUUCUGGAACCAGAUCAACCAGAAUCAGGUCCUGCUUCCAUCCCACUCAGCACUGUGAGCUUCAGCAUCUCAUUCCCCUCGUUCAGACCCAGUGUUCCCAUCUUAAAAGGACCUGGGAAGACACUAGAUUCUGAGCAGCGAUGGCAAAAGCAAGGUUAAACGAAGAAGAAAUGAAGCGAGGCUUGGCUGCCCUGCGUGCCCAUCUUUCGCUGUCACAUGACCUCAGAGGAACGAAUGAGCACCACCCAAAUGGCUCUGCCGGAACCGGGACCCGUCCCAAAUGCUGUCUUUCCUGUGACUGUGAGCUCACCUUGCAUGUCCGAUUUCUCCACCCUGAUCUGUCCCAGGGGCAGUGGUGCGGUGCUCCCGUUCCUGCUUGCAAAAUGCAUACCAGACAGAAAAACGACACGUGGAUUUUAGAACUGUGUUUGCACCCAAGCAGGCUCAUACUUACAAAAAAAUCAAUUUAAAAAUUAUUUGAAUUUUCUUUUUUUAACGAUUUAUUUAUUUUAU
Non-coding RNA from Oryctolagus cuniculus (rabbit), 717 nucleotides. NCBI's taxonomy places the organism in Eukaryota, Metazoa, Chordata, Mammalia, Lagomorpha, Leporidae. The record is from RefSeq and is a predicted model, not a curated record.